Long non-coding RNA from Malurus melanocephalus (red-backed fairy wren), 99 nucleotides. RefSeq lists it as uncharacterized. The transcript has 5 exons. The record is from RefSeq and is a predicted model, not a curated record. Lineage: Eukaryota; Metazoa; Chordata; Aves; Passeriformes; Maluridae.
CCAGGGGCAAACGCAGCUCUGGAUGAAUGGGACGCACAAAUCCGGAAAUUACCGGAGGAAUUUGAAAGUGAUGCUGAACUGGAGGAAUGUGACACAGAG